Molecule: ribosomal RNA, 776 nt
Filed under: Chaetoceros curvisetus
Lineage: Eukaryota; Bacillariophyta; Thalassiosirophyceae; Chaetocerotales; Chaetocerotaceae
Description: partial Bacterial large subunit ribosomal RNA
Rfam family: Bacterial large subunit ribosomal RNA
Source: RNAcentral
GGGGAGCGUCGUGCACGCUGAGAAGCUGUCACGGAAGUGGUGGUGGAGUGUGUGCGAGUGAGAAUGCAGGCAUGAGUAGCGUGUGACGGGUGGGAAACCCGUCCGCCGAAUAUCCAAGGGUUCCAGGGUCAAGUUAAUCUGCCCUGGGUGAGUCGGGGCCUAAGGCGAGGCCGACAGGCGUAGUCGAUGGACGACCAGUUGAUAUUCUGGUACCGGUGUAGCACCGUCCGUGUCGAGGUGUGUGAUGCUAAGCGUGCGAGUGUCCUGGUGAUCCCUUCGGGGUGAUCUUGUGGCGUGAGUGUGUGAACCGAUCAUGUAGUAGACAAGCUGCGGAGGGACACAGUGAGGUAGCUCGUCCCCGGCGAUGGUUGUCCGGGGCUAAAUGUGUGGACUGUCUGGUAGGUAAAUCCGUCAGACGUUGAGUUGAGGCAUGAUGGCGAGCCAUGUUUGUGUGGUGAGCGAGUGAUCCUGUGCUGUCGAGAAAAGCUUCGUGAGCGAGGUGUGAGCCGCCCGUACCCUAAACCGACACUGGUGGAUAGGUAGAGUAUACCGAGGCGAUCGAGAGAAUCAUGGUGAAGGAACUCGGCAAAAUGCCCCCGUAACUUUGGAAGAAGGGGGACCUGAGCUGUUGCCGCCACGUGCUGGUGGUUGCGGUGAGGGGCGCAGAGAAUUGGGGGAAGCGACUGUUUACCAAAAACACAGGUCCGUGCGAAGUCGUAAGACGAUGUAUACGGACUGACUCCUGCCCGGUGCUGGAAGGUUAAGGGGAACUGUGA